AUUGAACGCUGGCGGCAGGCCUAACACAUGCAAGUCGAGCGAGCGCCGGGCGGGUGAGUAUUGUCUGGGAGACUGCCUGAUGGAGAGGGAUAACUACCGGAAACGGUAGCUCAUACACCAUACCCUCUGAUGUGCCCCCAGGGGAGAAGCUAGUAGGUGGGGUAACGGCUCACCAAGGCGACGAGCCCUAGCUGGUCUGAGAGGAUGACCAGCAACACUGGAACUGAGACACGGCCCAGACUCCUACGGUAGGCAGCAGUGGGGAAUAUUGCACAAUGGGCGCAGGCCUGAUACAGCAAUGCCGCGUGUGUGAAGAAGGCCUUCGGGUUGUAAAGCACUUUCAGCGGGGAGGCGUUACCCGCAGAAGAAGCACCGGCUAACUCCGUGCCAGCAGCCGCGGUAAUUC
RNAcentral lists this ribosomal RNA (406 nucleotides) under uncultured bacterium. Its description in RNAcentral is "partial 16S ribosomal RNA". It matches the Rfam family "Bacterial small subunit ribosomal RNA", at positions 29 to 526 of the family's 1533-position model. The record is from RNAcentral.